UACAGAGGGCCCAAGCGUUGUUCGGAUUCAUUGGGCGUAAAGGGUGCGUAGGCGGUGCGGUAAGUCGGGGGUGAAAUCUCGGAGCUUAACUCCGAAACUGCAUUCGAUACUGCCGUGCUUGAGGACUGGAGAGGAGACUGGAAUUUACGGUGUAGCGGUGAAAUGCGUAGAUAUCGUAAGGAAGACCAGUGGCGAAGGCGGGUCUCUGGACAGUUCCUGACGCUGAGGCACGAAGGCCAGGGGAGCAAACGGG
This 253-nucleotide ribosomal RNA is filed under the name uncultured bacterium. RNAcentral describes it as "partial 16S ribosomal RNA". It matches the Rfam family "Bacterial small subunit ribosomal RNA", at positions 524 to 776 of the family's 1533-position model. The record is from RNAcentral.